RNAcentral lists this ribosomal RNA (468 nucleotides) under uncultured bacterium. RNAcentral describes it as "partial 16S ribosomal RNA". It matches the Rfam family "Bacterial small subunit ribosomal RNA", at positions 28 to 507 of the family's 1533-position model. The record is from RNAcentral.
GACGAACGCUGGCGGCGUGCUUAACACAUGCAAGUCGAACGGUAAGGCCCUGCCUUUGUGGGGUGCUCGAGUUGCGAACGGGUGAGUAACACGUGAGUAACCUGCCCUUGACUGUGGGAUAACUACAGGAAACGGGGGCUAAUACCGGAUAGUAUCUCCUGCUGCAUGGUGGUGGGUGGAAAGUUUCGGCGGUUGGGGUUGGACUCGCGGCUUAUCAGCUUGUUGGUGGGGUAGUGGAUUACCAACGCUUUGACGGGUAGCCGGCCUGAGAGGGUGACAGGCCACAUUGGGAUAGAGGAACGGCCCAGACUGCUACGGGAGGCAGCAGUGGGAAAUAGUGCACGAUGGGCGGAAGCCUUAUGGAGCGACGCCGCGUGCGGGAGGACGGUCGUCGGGGUGUAAAGCGUUUUCGCCUGUGACGAAGCGUGAGUGACGGUAAUGGAUAAAGAAGCACCGGCUAACUACGUG